RNAcentral lists this ribosomal RNA (497 nucleotides) under uncultured bacterium. RNAcentral's name for it is "partial 16S ribosomal RNA". It matches the Rfam family "Bacterial small subunit ribosomal RNA", at positions 28 to 507 of the family's 1533-position model. The record is from RNAcentral.
GAUGAACGCUGGCGGCGUGCCUAAUACAUGCCAGUCGAGCGAACAGACGAGGAGCUUGCUCCUCUGACGUUAGCGGCGGACGGGUGAGUAACACGUGGAUAACCUACCUAUAAGACUGGGAUAACUUCGGGAAACCGGAGCUAAUACCGGAUAAUAUAUUGAACCGCAUGGUUCAAUAGUGAAAGACGGUUUUGCUGUCGCUUAUAGAUGGAUCCGCGCCGCAUUAGCUAGUUGGUAAGGUAACGGCUUACCAAGGCAACGAUGCGUAGCCGACCUGAGAGGGUGAUCGGCCACACGGGAACUGAGACACGGUCCAGACUCCUACGGGAGGCAGCAGUAGGGAAUCUUCCGCAAUGGGCGAAAGCCUGACGGAGCAACGCCGCGUGAGUGAUGAAGGUCUUCGGAUCGUAAAACUCUGUUAUUAGGGAAGAACAAAUGUGUAAGUAACUAUGCACGUCUUGACGGUACCUAAUCAGAAAGCCACGGCUAACUACGUG